GUGCCAGCCGCCGCGGUAAUACGGAGGGUGCGAGCGUUAAUCGGAAUUACUGGGCGUAAAGCGCAUGCAGGCGGCCUGUUAAGUCAGAUGUGAAAGCCCGGGGCUUAACCUCGGAAUUGCAUUUGAAACUGUCCAGCUAGAGUCUUGUAGAGGGGGGUAGAAUUCCAGGUGUAGCGGUGAAAUGCGUAGAGAUCUGGAGGAAUACCGGUGGCGAAGGCGGCCCCCUGGACAAAGACUGACGCUCAGGUGCGAAAGCGUGGGGAGCAAACAGGAUUAGAAACCCGCGUAGUCC
Molecule: ribosomal RNA, 292 nt
Filed under: uncultured prokaryote
Description: partial 16S ribosomal RNA
Rfam family: Bacterial small subunit ribosomal RNA
Source: RNAcentral